This 473-nucleotide ribosomal RNA is filed under the name uncultured organism. Its description in RNAcentral is "partial 16S ribosomal RNA". It matches the Rfam family "Bacterial small subunit ribosomal RNA", at positions 335 to 799 of the family's 1533-position model. The record is from RNAcentral.
ACUCCUGCGGGAGGCAGCAGUGGGGAAUUUUGGACAAUGGGCGAAAGCCUGAUCCAGCAAUGCCGCGUGAGUGAAGAAGGCCUUCGGGUUGUAAAGCUCUUUUGUCAGGGAAGAAACGGUGAGAGCUAAUAUCUCUUGCUAAUGACGGUACCUGAAGAAUAAGCACCGGCUAACUACGUGCCAGCAGCCGCGGUAAUACGUAGGGUGCAAGCGUUAAUCGGAAUUACUGGGCGUAAAGCGUGCGCAGGCGGUUUUGUAAGUCUGAUGUGAAAUCCCCGGGCUCAACCUGGGAAUUGCAUUGGAGACUGCAAGGCUAGAAUCUGGCAGAGGGGGGUAGAAUUCCACGUGUAGCAGUGAAAUGCGUAGAUAUGUGGAGGAACACCGAUGGCGAAGGCAGCCCCCUGGGUCAAGAUUGACGCUCAUGCACGAAAGCGUGGGGAGCAAACAGGAUUAGAUACCCCGGUAGUCCCAUG